CUCUGUUCUUAGAAAACAAUGAGCUGUCUCCUUGCCAACCAGCAGCUCCCUUGGUAGGGGCAUGCAGAAGACCUGAUGACACAAACCCUCCAAAGAGUUUCACCCUCACCACAACAGGUGGCUUCCUGCUCGGCAGCCCAUCCUGCAUCACUUCAGUGGACUUCUCUGACAUCUACUAGACCACAUUAAAUGAAUCACAGCCUUGAAACUGAACUGGAAGGACUUCCUUCAAGGAGCCAGCAUAUGAACUUGCUGCCUAUCUUUAGCAAGGAGAUGCAAAUGACAUCCACAAACCUCUUCUGCUGUAUACCUGGAUGAAAGCAAGGCUAGCUGUGUGUCCUAUGGCACCAAGGACUGAAAGAUUGUAAGAAGUAAGAGGGAAAGUGAUCCAAAAAGGUGGAACACCUAAUGUACAGCCCCAAGGAAGGAGCAUACUUGGAGAAUUCAAGGAACAGAAAGAAAAACAGGAAGGCUGGAGUGAAACUGAUUAAAUAAAGCAUCGUAACAUUAGAGGUCCAUCAUAGAGGCCAAGCCAAAUACAACUAUGUUUUCAAGCAUAAGAUGGAUAGAUGUGGUAAACCACAAGAAGCAAACAGCCCUUUAGAGGUGUGGAUUGACCUUGCAGAGUUACAAGUGGAGCCAGGAGAAAUCAUGUUGAGUGGGACUUCUCAUCCUACCUAAGAGAGACUAACAGAUGGAAAGCUGGGUACAGAAGGGAGAGAAGGCAGUAACAGUCAGAUUUCAAUACGCUGAGACUGUGACGUGGGACUUUUGAGUGAGUAACAUCUGCUCCUAGAACUGAGUUGAGUGGGGAUCCUCCCACACCACCCAGGCAAGAGAACUAACAAUUGAUGACUGCUCCAAAUCAGUCGCCAGUCUACCUAAUACUUCUACCUGCUUUGCCAGAAGUGCUCUUCCUCUCUGUCCAGUGGGCAAGCACCAAUUCAUUUUCAAACUCUCCACUGAAGCAUCAAUUUUCUGUAAUGCCUUUCUUGACCUCAGAUGUGAUGCCAGAAGUAGAGCAGCCAUCUUGCAACCACAAAGCAACAGCAUGAGUAUGAAAGUUAGUGCAUUAAGGAUGCUGGAAUAGAAUGAUUGAAAGCCAGAUGCCUAAUGACGUUGCUGAAUAGCUGAAACAAUACCAGCAACUAGCUGACAAGGUCUUGCUCUGUUGCCUGGCCUGAAGUGCAGUGGCAUGAUCAUGGCUCACUGCAGCCUCAACCUCCCAGGCACAAGUGAUCCUCCCACCUCAACUUCCAGAAUAUAGAAGCUGGAACUACAGUGACCUACAUCCAAAGUGAAAAGUUAUUCAGCCUCUGAAGAGAAGCAUUUUGUUUGGGGAUCUUCAAGUAUGCUUGUCAGCACCGAGAACUGGAAAAAAAUCUCUGAUUGUCCUGCAGCAAUGGCAUUAAAGGCUCCUCAUAACAUACAGAACCAGAAUUGUGCCAUAAUUUACUGAAAUUGAACAUUGCUCUGUGACUGCUAAUUUUCCAUCGAGAUGAUUCUGUCUCUAACCAAGAAAAGAAAAGUUUGUCUUCCUGACUGCUGACACUGCUGACCAAGCCCACCACCAGAUGCCUGGCUGCACACCCAGAGGGCAGCCGCUUCCCGUGGUCCUCUCGAAGAACUUCCCUUUUGCAAUGCAUGUUUAGCAAGUGGAUGAGUUUGUCUUUUCUGAUUUCUCUGCAAGCUCUGCAUUGCCCACCUGAACCAGUGCUUCAGAAGAACUAAUGGGAUCUCUGACCCUCCAACAUCCUCUUCCAGACUUUCACUUUCCUGGCUCCUUGCAGGGACAUGUAAUAAACGUGCUCUCCAGA
Molecule: long non-coding RNA, 1817 nt
Filed under: Homo sapiens (human)
Lineage: Eukaryota; Metazoa; Chordata; Mammalia; Primates; Hominidae
Description: HSALNT0373487
Source: RNAcentral